GAGGGCGUAGCUCAGUUGGCAGAGUUCAGGGUUGUGGCCCCUGCGGUCGUGGGUUCGAAUCCCAUCGCUCUCCCCA
This 76-nucleotide transfer RNA is filed under the name Syntrophaceae bacterium. RNAcentral describes it as "tRNA-His". It matches the Rfam family "tRNA". From Rfam's summary of the family: Transfer RNA (tRNA) molecules are approximately 80 nucleotides in length. Their secondary structure includes four short double-helical elements and three loops (D, anti-codon, and T loops). Further hydrogen bonds mediate the characteristic L-shaped molecular structure. tRNAs have two regions of fundamental functional importance: the anti-codon, which is responsible for specific mRNA codon recognition, and the 3' end, to which the tRNAs corresponding amino acid is attached (by aminoacyl-tRNA synthetases). tRNAs cope with the degeneracy of the genetic code in two manners: having more than one tRNA (with a specific anti-codon) for a particular amino acid; and 'wobble' base-pairing, i.e. permitting non-standard base-pairing at the 3rd anti-codon position. The record is from RNAcentral. RNAcentral also lists the same sequence under 1 other name. Lineage: Bacteria; Pseudomonadati; Thermodesulfobacteriota; Syntrophia; Syntrophales; Syntrophaceae.